ACGUAGGGGGCAAGCGUUAUCCGGAAUUAUUGGGCGUAAAGAGUGCGUAGGUGGUUUUUUAAGCGUGAGGUGAAAGGCAAUAGCUUAACUAUUGUAAGCCUUGCGAACUGGAAGACUUGAGUGCAGGAGAGGAAAGUGGAAUUCCUAGUGGGCAGGUGUAUGGCCUGUAAAUUAGAGGGAGGAACGGAGGCGAAGGCAACAAACAGGACUGGAUCCGCGACUAAGCCGCGUGAGCGUGGCGAACACAAAG
RNAcentral lists this ribosomal RNA (250 nucleotides) under uncultured prokaryote. RNAcentral's name for it is "partial 16S rRNA". It matches the Rfam family "Bacterial small subunit ribosomal RNA", at positions 525 to 775 of the family's 1533-position model. The record is from RNAcentral.